GGAGGCGUGGCUGAGUGGCCGAAAGCGGCUCCGUGCUAAGGAGUUAGGGGAGCAAUUCCCUCGCAGGUUCAAAUCCUGCCGCCUCCG
This 87-nucleotide transfer RNA is filed under the name Candidatus Sungbacteria bacterium RIFCSPHIGHO2_02_FULL_47_11. RNAcentral's name for it is "tRNA-Ser". It matches the Rfam family "tRNA". From Rfam's summary of the family: Transfer RNA (tRNA) molecules are approximately 80 nucleotides in length. Their secondary structure includes four short double-helical elements and three loops (D, anti-codon, and T loops). The record is from RNAcentral. Lineage: Bacteria; Candidatus Sungiibacteriota.